UCCGCGCAAACGAUUACGUGCUGUAUAUGUCUAGUGAAUUGGACUGGACGUCUCUACCAUCGAGCCUAUCUCGAUGACUACAGUAAGUUGGCUUAUUUUA
Molecule: non-coding RNA, 100 nt
Filed under: Vibrio sp.
Lineage: Bacteria; Pseudomonadati; Pseudomonadota; Gammaproteobacteria; Vibrionales; Vibrionaceae
Description: Guanine sequence
Rfam family: Purine riboswitch aptamer
About the family: Riboswitches are metabolite binding domains within certain messenger RNAs that serve as precision sensors for their corresponding targets. Allosteric rearrangement of mRNA structure is mediated by ligand binding, and this results in modulation of gene expression. A class of riboswitches that selectively recognises guanine and becomes saturated at concentrations as low as 5 nM.
Source: RNAcentral